Molecule: ribosomal RNA, 799 nt
Filed under: Cellulosimicrobium funkei
Lineage: Bacteria; Bacillati; Actinomycetota; Actinomycetes; Micrococcales; Promicromonosporaceae
Description: bacterial SSU rRNA
Rfam family: Bacterial small subunit ribosomal RNA
Source: RNAcentral
UGGCUAACUGCAAGUCGAACGAUGAUGCCCAGCUUGCUGGGCGGAUUAGUGGCGAACGGGUGAGUAACACGUGAGUAACCUGCCCUUGACUUCGGGAUAACUCCGGGAAACCGGGGCUAAUACCGGAUAUGAGCCGCCCUCGCAUGGGGGUGGUUGGAAAGUUUUUCGGUCAGGGAUGGGCUCGCGGCCUAUCAGCUUGUUGGUGGGGUGAUGGCCUACCAAGGCGACGACGGGUAGCCGGCCUGAGAGGGCGACCGGCCACACUGGGACUGAGACACGGCCCAGACUCCUACGGGAGGCAGCAGUGGGGAAUAUUGCACAAUGGGCGAAAGCCUGAUGCAGCGACGCCGCGUGAGGGAUGAAGGCCUUCGGGUUGUAAACCUCUUUCAGCAGGGAAGAAGCGCAAGUGACGGUACCUGCAGAAGAAGCGCCGGCUAACUACGUGCCAGCAGCCGCGGUAAUACGUAGGGCGCAAGCGUUGUCCGGAAUUAUUGGGCGUAAAGAGCUCGUAGGCGGUUUGUCGCGUCUGGUGUGAAAACUCGAGGCUCAACCUCGAGCUUGCAUCGGGUACGGGCAGACUAGAGUGCGGUAGGGGAGACUGGAAUUCCUGGUGUAGCGGUGGAAUGCGCAGAUAUCAGGAGGAACACCGAUGGCGAAGGCAGGUCUCUGGGCCGCACCUGACGCUGAGGAGCGAAUGCAUGGUGAGCGAACAGGAUUAGAUACCCUGGUAGUCCAUGCCGUAAACGUUGGGCACUAAGUGUGGGGCUCAUUCCACGAGUUCCGUGCCGCAGCAUACGCA